Molecule: long non-coding RNA, 682 nt
Organism: Erigeron canadensis
Lineage: Eukaryota; Viridiplantae; Streptophyta; Magnoliopsida; Asterales; Asteraceae
Exons: 4
Source: RefSeq, a predicted model, not a curated record
UUUUCCUUAUGAAAGUGAGAUCAAACAAUUACUUUUAUAAAGAUAGAAUAUAUAUUUUGCAUCCUUCUACAUCUGCUUCGAUGUUGUACUUUCAAUCGAAGGUGUAUUUUCACAUGGAACUGUGGCGAUCAAAGGUCGAAGAAGGCUAACACUUGUCGGAAAUUAAAUUCGAGGUUAUAUGCGAAUAUGAAAUAUAGUACAAGUCCCCUGGUAUGAUUUAUGUCAUUGCAUGUUUAUGUUCUUCGAGCCCCUUCUUUCAUUCGUGGUGUUGUGUAUAUAUAGGUUCAAAAGUUGCUGGCCGUUGAAAACGAUAAACUUGCAAAACUUGAAGAAGAAAGUGAUGCUUGGAUACAAGUUUGUUUUACUGCCACUCGUCUCACACUCUUGAUUAAUGGUGGCAAAGAGGACAUGUUGGGUAAUAGUCUGGUCAGACAAGGCUUAGGUUGAAAGUAUGGCCCAAAACCUAUCAAGCCGGGAUCUUGACUGUCACCAGCUAUUGUUGCAGCCAUGUCCAUCGCUUAGAUAAUAGGGUCAUAUUUCAUGGAUGUUACCAAUGUUUGAGCUUCUACUUUCAUCACCGCAUGCUGAUAAUUUGAUACAAACACUUAUAAUCUAUUUUAUUUCUAAAUCACAUGUCUGCCGAGCAGACCUUAAAUUUGAAAUACAUAUAAUUUAAGUGUAA